Molecule: unclassified non-coding RNA, 94 nt
Filed under: Candidatus Kentrum sp. FM
Lineage: Bacteria; Pseudomonadati; Pseudomonadota; Gammaproteobacteria
Description: Candidatus Kentron sp. FM microRNA mir-598
Source: RNAcentral
CGAAGAAGAAAAAGAAGAAGAAGAAAGAGUGGCCACGGAAAAAUCGGAUUUUUCCGUGUUUUCCGUGGCCACUCUUUCUUCUUCUUUUUCUUCU